This 252-nucleotide ribosomal RNA is filed under the name uncultured bacterium. RNAcentral's name for it is "partial 16S ribosomal RNA". It matches the Rfam family "Bacterial small subunit ribosomal RNA", at positions 524 to 774 of the family's 1533-position model. The record is from RNAcentral.
GACAGAGGGUGCAAACGUUGUUCGGAAUUACUGGCGUAAAGCGAGUGUAGGCGGUUUGGUAGGUCGGAUGUGAAAGCCCCGGGCUCAACCCGGGAAGUGCACUCGAUACUGCCAAGCUAGAGUAUCGGAGAGGUUGGUGGAAUUCUCGGUGUAGAGGUGAAAUUCGUAGAUAUCGGGAGGAACACCAGUGGCGAAGGCGGUUGCCUGGGGCUUUGGCUGACGCUGAUGCGCGAAAGCGUGGGGAAGCGAGUC